UACAGAGGGGGCAAGCGUUGUUCGGAAUUACUGGGCGUAAAGGGCGUGCAGGCGGUUCGUUUAGUCCAGGGUGAAAGCUCCCGGCUUAACUGGGAGAGGUCCUUGGAUACUGGCGGACUAGAGGAGGGUAGAGGAGAGUGGAAUUCCCGGUGUAGUGGUGAUAUGCGUAGAUAUCGGGAGGAACACCAGUGGCGAAGGCGGCUCUCUGGGCCCUACCUGACGCUGAGACGCGAAAGCGUGGGGAGCGAACCGG
This 253-nucleotide ribosomal RNA is filed under the name uncultured bacterium. RNAcentral describes it as "partial 16S ribosomal RNA". It matches the Rfam family "Bacterial small subunit ribosomal RNA", at positions 524 to 776 of the family's 1533-position model. The record is from RNAcentral.